RNAcentral lists this ribosomal RNA (427 nucleotides) under uncultured bacterium. Its description in RNAcentral is "bacterial SSU rRNA". It matches the Rfam family "Bacterial small subunit ribosomal RNA", at positions 355 to 774 of the family's 1533-position model. The record is from RNAcentral.
UGGGGAAUUUUGGACAAUGGGCGCAAGCCUGAUCCAGCAAUGCCGCGUGCAGGAUGAAGGCCUUCGGGUUGUAAACUGCUUUUGUACGGAACGAAAAAGCUCUCUCUAAUACAGGGGGUGAAUGACGGUACCGUAAGAAUAAGCACCGGCUAACUACGUGCCAGCAGCCGCGGUAAUACGUAGGGUGCAAGCGUUAAUCGGAAUUACUGGGCGUAAAGCGUGCGCAGGCGGUUUUGUAAGACAGAGGUGAAAUCCCCGGGCUCAACCUGGGAACUGUCUUUGGGACUGCAAAGCUGGAGUGCGGCAGAGGGGGAUGGAAUUCCGCGUGUAGCAGUGAAAUGCGUAGAUAUGCGGAGGAACACCGGUGGCGAAGGCAAUCCCCUGGGCCUGCACUGACGCUCAUGCACGAAAGCGUGGGGAGCAAACA